RNAcentral lists this non-coding RNA (95 nucleotides) under Pseudoruegeria aquimaris. RNAcentral describes it as "Glycine sequence". It matches the Rfam family "Glycine riboswitch aptamer". From Rfam's summary of the family: This family represents the bacterial glycine riboswitch. The record is from Rfam by way of RNAcentral. Lineage: Bacteria; Pseudomonadati; Pseudomonadota; Alphaproteobacteria; Rhodobacterales; Roseobacteraceae.
GACAACCCCAUGGGAGAAUCCGGCCGCGCAGGCUGCCGGUGCCGAAGGAGCAACCGCCCCGGUAAACUCUCAGGCAAAAGGACCGUGGGGCGUCU